GACGAACGCUGGCGGCGUGCUUAACACAUGCAAGUCGAACGGUAAGGCCCUUCGGGGUACACGAGUGGCGAACGGGUGAGUAACACGUGGGUGAUCUGCCCUGCACUUCGGGAUAAGCCUGGGAAACUGGGUCUAAUACCGGAUAGGACUCCGGACUGCAUGGUCUGGGGUGGAAAGCUGUUGCGGUGUGGGAUGGGCCCGCGGCCUAUCAGCUUGUUGGUGGGGUGAUGGCCUACCAAGGCGACGACGGGUAGCCGGCCUGAGAGGGUGACCGGCCACACUGGGACUGAGAUACGGCCCAGACUCCUACGGGAGGCAGCAGUGGGGAAUAUUGCACAAUGGGCGCAAGCCUGAUGCAGCAACGCCGCGUGAGGGAGGACGGCCUUCGGGUUGUAAACCUCUUUUAGUAGGGAAGAAGCGAAAGUGACGGUACCUGCAGAAAAAGCACCGGCUAACUACGUGCCAGCCGCCGCAGUAA
RNAcentral lists this ribosomal RNA (478 nucleotides) under uncultured bacterium. RNAcentral describes it as "partial 16S ribosomal RNA". It matches the Rfam family "Bacterial small subunit ribosomal RNA", at positions 28 to 523 of the family's 1533-position model. The record is from RNAcentral.